Molecule: ribosomal RNA, 510 nt
Filed under: uncultured bacterium
Lineage: Bacteria
Description: partial 16S ribosomal RNA
Rfam family: Bacterial small subunit ribosomal RNA
Source: RNAcentral
GACGAACGCUGGCGGCGUGCUUAACACAUGCAAGUCGAACGAAGAGCGAUGGAAGCUUGCUUCUAUCAAUCUUAGUGGCGAACGGGUGAGUAACGCGUAAUCAACCUGCCCUUCAGAGGGGGACAACAGUUGGAAACGACUGCUAAUACCGCAUACGAUCUAAUCUCGGCAUCGAGGAUAGAUGAAAGGUGGCCUCUACAUGUAAGCUAUCACUGAAGGCGGGGAUUGCGUCUGAUUAGCUAGUUGGAGGGGUAACGGCCCACCAAGGCGAUGAUCAGUAGCCGGUCUGAGAGGAUGAACGGCCACAGUGGGACUGAGACACGGCCCAGACUCCUACGGGAGGCAGCAGUGGGGAAUCUUCCGAAAUGGACGAAAGUCUGACGGAGCAACGCCGCGUGAGUGAUGACGGCCUUCGGGUUGUAAAGCUCUGUUAAUCGGGACGAAAGGCCUUCUUGCGAAUAGUGAGAAGGAUUGACGGUACCGGAAGAGAAAGCCACGGCUAACUACGUG